UUCCAUAAUUUAUAAAAGAGAGUGAAAUGGAUUUUUCAAUCUUUAAAUCCAUUUGAACAUUUUCAAAUACUAGCACUAUAUUUGAACUCUCCUAUUCCUCAACUUUUCAAAUUGGAAUUUGAAUUUUGAAUCCAAAGUUAUUUGCAAAGAGAGAAAAACAGAAAAGGAAAAGGAAAAAGAAAAAAAAGAAUCUUACCUGCUGGCCGAGCCGGCCCAGCCACCUCGGCCUCUCCCUUCGCGCCGCCCAGUCGCCGCGGCCCCCUUCUCCCGCGCUCGUCCGAAGCCCAGCUCGGCCCAGCAGCCGCGCGCGCCGCCGCCGCAGUGCGCUUCCCCGCGUCGAAGGCGCCUUUCCCCGGUUUACGCCUUGUCUCACAGAGCUUCUCCUUCCCUCUGCUUUUCGUGCUCCUGGCCGGUGAACCCCCCCGCUCCACGUCGGCCUCCGAUGGCGACAGCUUCCAACCGCGCCUCUUUAUAAGCUGCGCCGUGCCCCUCCUCGCAGCCCUAGCGCCAGGAAACCCUAGACGGGUCCUCCUCCUUCUCUUUCUGCGCCGCCGCCGUCACCUUCUUCCCGAGC
Molecule: long non-coding RNA, 574 nt
Filed under: Brachypodium distachyon (stiff brome)
Lineage: Eukaryota; Viridiplantae; Streptophyta; Magnoliopsida; Poales; Poaceae
Description: long non-coding RNA (BDIS_LNC003310)
Source: RNAcentral